This 2922-nucleotide ribosomal RNA is filed under the name Lactiplantibacillus plantarum. Its description in RNAcentral is "23S ribosomal RNA". It matches the Rfam family "Bacterial large subunit ribosomal RNA". The record is from RNAcentral. Lineage: Bacteria; Bacillati; Bacillota; Bacilli; Lactobacillales; Lactobacillaceae.
GGUUAAGUUAACAAGGGCGCAUGGUGAAUGCCUUGGCACUAGGAGCCGAUGAAGGACGGGACUAACACCGAUAUGCUUCGGGGAGCUGUACGUAAGCUAUGAUCCGGAGAUUUCCGAAUGGGGCAACCCAGCAGUUUUAAUCAACUGUUACCACUAGAUGAAUUCAUAGUCUAGUUGGAGGUAAACGCUGUGAACUGAAACAUCUCAUUAGCAGCAGGAAUAUAAAGAAAUUUCGAUUCCCUAAGUAGCGGCGAGCGAACGGGGAACAGCCCAAACCAAAGUGCUUGCACUUUGGGGUUGUAGGACUGAACAUUUGAGUUACCAAAGAACUUGAUAGUCGAAGGAUUUGGGAAAAUCCGCCAUAGAUGGUGAUAGCCCAGUAGAUUAAAUCAAAUUCUCUCAGUUCAGGAUCCUGAGUACGGCGGAACACGUGAAAUUCCGUCGGAAUCCGGGAGGACCAUCUCCCAAGGCUAAAUACUACCUAGUGACCGAUAGUGAACCAGUACCGUGAGGGAAAGGUGAAAAGCACCCCGGGAGGGGAGUGAAAUAGUUCCUGAAACCAUGUGCCUACAAUAAGUCAGAGCGCGUUAAUGCGUGAUGGCGUGCCUUUUGUAGAAUGAACCGGCGAGUUAUGAUCCCGUGCAAGGUUAAGACUAAAAAGUCGGAGCCGUAGCGAAAGCGAGUCUGAAAUGGGCGUUUUGAGUACGAGGUUAUAGACCCGAAACCAGGUGACCUAUCCAUGUCCAGGUUGAAGGUGCGGUAAAACGCACUGGAGGACCGAACCCGUGUAAGUUGAAAAUUGCUGGGAUGAGGUGUGGAUAGCGGUGAAAUUCCAAACGAACUUGGAGAUAGCUGGUUCUCUCCGAAAUAGCUUUAGGGCUAGCCUCGGAAUUAGGAUCAUGGAGGUAGAGCACUAUUUGGACUAGGGGCCCGUCUUGGGUUACUGAAUUCAGAUAAACUCCGAAUGCCAUUGAUUCAUAUCCGGGAGUCAGACGAUGAGUGAUAAGAUCCACCGUCGAAAGGGGAACAGCCCAGACCAUCAGUUAAGGUCCCUAAAUGUAUGCUAAGUGGAAAAGGAUGUGGAGUUGCAUAGACAACUAGGAUGUUGGCUCAGAAGCAGCCACCAUUUAAAGAGUGCGUAAUAGCUCACUAGUCGAGUGAUCCUGCGCCGAAAAUGUACCGGGGCUAAGCAUACUACCGAAACCAUGGAUGCGACCAUUAGGUCGCGUGAUAGGAGAGCGUUCUAAGGGCGGUGAAGCAAGAUCGUGAGGACUUGUGGAGCGCUUAGAAGUGAGAAUGCCGGUAUGAGUAGCGAAAGAUAGGUGAGAAUCCUAUCCACCGAAUGACUAAGGUUUCCUGGGGAAGGCUCGUCCUCCCAGGGUUAGUCGGGACCUAAGUCGAGGCCGAGAGGCGUAGACGAUGGAUAACAGGUUGAGAUUCCUGUACUAGUUAAGUGCGUUUGAGCAAUGGAGGGACGCAGGAGGCUAAGAUGUGCAUUCUGUUGGAUUAGAAUGUCCAAGCAGUAAGUCUUGUGAAGAGUCAAAUGCUUUUCACUUUAAGGACAAGCUGUGAUGGGGAGCGAAAUUUAGUAGCGAAGCGUCUGAUGUCACACUGCCGAGAAAAGCUUCUAGUGAGUACUUAACUACCCGUACCGCAAACCGACACAGGUAGUCGAGGAGAGAAUCCUAAGGUGAGCGAGUGAACUCUCGUUAAGGAACUCGGCAAAAUGACCCCGUAACUUCGGGAGAAGGGGUGCUGAUCGCAAGAUCAGCCGCAGUGAAUAGGCCCAGGCGACUGUUUAUCAAAAACACAGGUCUCUGCAAAAUCGUAAGAUGACGUAUAGGGGCUGACGCCUGCCCGGUGCUGGAAGGUUAAAAGGAUGGGUUAGCUUCGGCGAAGCUCAGAAUUGAAGCCCCAGUAAACGGCGGCCGUAACUAUAACGGUCCUAAGGUAGCGAAAUUCCUUGUCGGGUAAGUUCCGACCCGCACGAAAGGCGUAACGAUCUGGGCACUGUCUCAACGAGAGACUCGGUGAAAUUAUAUUGUCCGUGAAGAUGCGGACUACCCGCGACAGGACGGAAAGACCCCAUGGAGCUUUACUGUAGCUUGAUAUUGAGUGUUUGUACAGCUUGUACAGGAUAGGUAGGAGCCAUAGAAACCGGAACGCUAGUUUCGGUGGAGGCGUUGGUGGGAUACUACCCUCGCUGUAUGACCACUCUAACCCGCACCACUAAUCGUGGUGGGAGACAGUGUCAGGUGGGCAGUUUGACUGGGGCGGUCGCCUCCUAAAAAGUAACGGAGGCGCCCAAAGGUUCCCUCAGAAUGGUUGGAAAUCAUUCGCAGAGUGUAAAGGCACAAGGGAGCUUGACUGCGAGACAGACAGGUCGAGCAGGGACGAAAGUCGGGCUUAGUGAUCCGGUGGUACCGUAUGGAAGGGCCAUCGCUCAACGGAUAAAAGCUACCCUGGGGAUAACAGGCUUAUCUCCCCCAAGAGUCCACAUCGACGGGGAGGUUUGGCACCUCGAUGUCGGCUCAUCGCAUCCUGGGGCUGUAGUCGGUCCCAAGGGUUGGGCUGUUCGCCCAUUAAAAGCGGUACGCGAGCUGGGUUCAGAACGUCGUGAGACAGUUCGGUCCCUAUCCGUCGCGGGCGUAGGAAAUUUGAGAGGACCUGUCCUUAGUACGAGAGGACCGGGAUGGACAUACCUCUGGUGUACCAGUUGUGCCGCCAGGCGCAUCGCUGGGUAGCUACGUAUGGAUGUGAUAAACGCUGAAAGCAUCUAAGUGUGAAACACACCUCGAGAUGAGAUUUCCCAUUCCUUUAUGGAAGUAAGACCCCUGAAAGAUGAUCAGGUAGAUAGGUUAGAAGUGGCAGUGCGGUGACGCAUGAAGCGGACUAAUACUAAUCGGUCGAGGACUUAACCAA